UUAGUGAGGCCUCCUGACUGGCGCCGAUGCUCUGGCAACAGAGCGCCGGAUGCCGGAAAGUUGGUCAAACUUGAUCAUUUAGAGGAAGUAAAAGUCGUAACAAGGUUUCCGUAGGUGAACCUGCGGAAGGAUCAUUACCGAUAGAUAUUAUCCAAGACAUCAUGGUUUGUUGUCCUGUGAACUGUACCAAAUCAUUUAGGGGUCGGCCGUUGUUAACAGGCCGUUAAAUGGCGAUGGGACGCACAGCGUGGCGGCCUCGUCGCCGGCCCCGCCGGUGUUUUGUUGUUUUAAAACAACCAACGUACGUGUUGAUAUCGUCUGAUGUUAUAUAGUUGAGAGAAAAAAAAAAGAAAAGACAACUUGUGGCGGUGGAUCUCUUGGCUCGCGCGUCGAUGAAGAACGCAGCCAGCUGCGAUAAGUAGUGUGAAUUGCAGAAUUCAGUGAAUCAUCGAAUCUUUGAACGCAAAUGGCGCUCUUGGGUUGUCCCAGGAGCAUGUCUGUCUGAGUGUCAUGAUGUUAAAAAAACUCGCAGCAGCACCAACCGUGUUGCUUGCGGCGGCGUUGAGGCGUCACGGCCACAUUGCCGUGUCCCUUGAAAGGCAGAGAGGAGACUCGCUGCUUUGCACAGCGGAGGCCAAAAGUCAGUCAGACCUUCGCGAUGCGAUGCACGACAAUGCGAGUCGCCAGCAAGGCGAAAAACACUACUGUGUGACCUCAGAUCAGGCAAGGCUACCCGCUGAAUUUAAGCAUAU
RNAcentral lists this unclassified non-coding RNA (752 nucleotides) under Homophyllia australis. RNAcentral describes it as "sequence contains ITS1, 5.8S rRNA gene and ITS2". The stretch from base 358 to 511 matches the Rfam family "5.8S ribosomal RNA". Lineage: Eukaryota; Metazoa; Cnidaria; Anthozoa; Scleractinia; Lobophylliidae. The record is from RNAcentral.